RNAcentral lists this small RNA (143 nucleotides) under Flavobacterium xueshanense. RNAcentral's name for it is "Flavo-1 RNA". It matches the Rfam family "Flavo-1 RNA". Lineage: Bacteria; Pseudomonadati; Bacteroidota; Flavobacteriia; Flavobacteriales; Flavobacteriaceae. The record is from RNAcentral.
UUUUAGCCCAGAUGGAAACGGAAACCCCGCAGUUAUGAAAGUUAGUUUUUCUUGGUGUAAAAGAGCGACUGUAGGAAGCUCCUUUUAUGCCUUAGAAAAACAACUGAAAUAACGAGGAGUUGCAGUGUACAGCUGGAAUUGCU